Elaeis guineensis (African oil palm) is the source of this 2491-nucleotide non-coding RNA. Lineage: Eukaryota; Viridiplantae; Streptophyta; Magnoliopsida; Arecales; Arecaceae. The record is from RefSeq and is a predicted model, not a curated record.
CCUUCUCCUCCAUUACCCUCCUCUCUCCUCCCCUUAUGAACUCUCGUGUGCCCCAAAUCCAAACAAAACGUUACGAGUCUCAAUCGGAUAGGAGGCGGCGGUGAUGGCGGGGGAAGUCCGUGGGCGACGGAAGGGAAGGGGCGUGUACGAGUCUCAAUCGGCUGGAGGCUUCCGUAUUUCUUCAUUUUCCUCUAUUUUCCCGUCCUCACGGAUCCCAAUCUGCUGGGAGGCUUCCAGCGGCCGGAGGAGGAGAUGAUGAGGUUGUGAGGCCGCGACGGUUUCCAAUGGCCGGAGAAGGAGAGGAUGAGAGGAUUUAAAGCCGCGACGGCGUCCCUUCCGGCGAUGACCACGUGUAAGAGGAUGAGAGGAUUUGAGGCCGCGAUGGCUUCCAACAGCCGGAGAACGGCAUCGGCCUUCGCCCUCCACUCUCCCUCACGACGCCGACCUCUUCCCCGCUUUCCUCGCUGCUACCUCCCGUCGGUCUCCGCCGUCGCCUUCCUCGAUCCUAGUGGCGUCGGGCUUUCCCCUCCAAUCUCCGUCAGGUGCUUUCCCGAACCCUCGCGGACGCCAACCUCCUCCCCGCUCUCCUCGCCGCCACCUCCUGCCGGUCUCCGUCGUCACUGGUUUUGAUUCCACCGCCGGAGCUCCGACCCACUCCCGUUCAAGAACCUCACCGCCGGAAGCCAUCGCCACUCGCCGCUAUCUCCUCCCCCGCUCUAUCCCCGUCUUCGUCAGUCCCAAAGCCGAAAUCACCACCACCGCUGCCUUCCCAUUCCCUCUCCCCUCCGCUCGCGCAUCCUCUACCGUCCCCGACUUCCCUUUGGUUAGGUUUAGCUUUUGUGCAUACUAAUCUUCGGAUCUACUUUUUCAAAAUGUUAGUCGGUUCAAGUUUCAAGAAUUCUGAGUUGGAUGUUUAUGCCUUUAGUUAUUGUUGGUAAGAAUUUUGGGUGUUUCCAUGCUUACUUUUCUUGAAAGAAAGCGAUUUGAUUUUUUUUGUUUGUUAUCACCUAGAAUUUGGGUUUCCAUCAUCAUAUAUUUCUGCUGGAAAUUGAGGUUGUUUCAUGCUUUGAGCAGAGGGUUUAUUUGGUGGUUGAGGGCUAUUUUCUUUGGAAAGCUGUAUGUUAAGAAAUUUGCUAUAAAUUUGAAAUGUGAUUAUGGGAAGAAAAUGGUAGAUCCCGUCGUUAUUCACAUAAUUAUGGAUCUUCGAGAUACUCUCCUUAUCCAGGGAAUAAUCGAUCUGCAGCCUAGAUCAGUAGAUAGGGUACAGAGAAGGUAUACAAAAAUAGGUGAUGAUUACCACUCGCUUGAGCAGAGUCUCGAUCGAGUGGGCGGCUCCGGAUGGAUUUUUUUUCCCUGCAAGCUCUUUUGAGAGAUCCAUGAGGAAGGAGAAUACCUGAGGGAGAUCAAAGCGCUUUCGAGUAUCUCAGGGAGAUCAGAUGGCUUUCUUAUGUUAUGAUUGGGGUUUUUUCUCGGGAUUUUGUGCAAUUUGUGGCGUUUUAAGCGAUUAAUCUUGGUAGAAGCAUGAUGUUUUAUGGGGUAUGGGAAGUUUUGUGAGAUAGGAGGUAGUGUUUUGAAAGCUAGGCACCUGGUGAAGACCGUAAUGAUAUCCAAAAGUUGACUGAAGGCAUCAUAUAAGGGUCAUGCCUUGGUGUUUGGAGGAACUCAUAAAACGGAUGAACACAUCAGAAGGUGACCGGGUUACAUGCGUUAUCGCUGAUGGGAACAUGGGAUGGGCUCUUGAAGUGGUGCAAAACAUGGGCAUCCGGUUGGCUGCCUUUCGGCCUUCGUCUACUGCAGUGCUUGCAUUAUUUCUGAACAUUCCCAAGAUGAUCCAGGAUGGUAUCAUUGAUGCUAACGGAAUGCCAGAAAGGAGUGAGACAUUCCAGCUGAGCACUGGCGUGCCAUUUGUGAACACAAGCCAACUUUCAUGGAAUUGUGCCAGUGAUCUCAAAACAGAAAAAGUCAUCUUCAAGUUCAUAGUCAGUAAUAAUCAACCAAUGAGUUAAAAGCCAGGGAAAGUUGGUAGGAUGGUCUUCUCAACAGCAGGUACUGGCUCACCCUUCCAUUGCUUGCUUCUUUUCUCAUUGUGGUUGGAAUUCAACAUUGGAAGGGGUGAAGAAUGGAGUCCCUUUCCUCUGCUGGCCUUAGCUCACCGAUCCAUAAUAAGGCACAUGGAUCUUUGGUGUUUGCUUCAUCCAACUAAAAAUUAAGGUCUGAUGAAUCUGCUAUGUUGCAUUUGGAGACAGCCAAUGAAAUGGCCAAUGUAUUUAUUGAUAUUUAAGUAUCACCCUUCCUUUUUCAUUGUGGUAGAUUCUUUCAGGGAUAGGGUCUUUGAGGGAAAUACUCUGAUCUGGUAAUUUUUAGUUUGGUGUUCUUGAGAAAUAAUUAAUGUAACUGAUAGCUAGGAAUAACUUGGCAAACUUGGGCUUACAGCCAUUACUCAUAUGCUUAUUUCUUGGAAUAGCAUGCACUACAGGUUCUGAAUACUUGA